UACGUAGGGUGCGAGCGUUAAUCGGAAUUACUGGGCGUAAAGUGUGCGCGGGUGGCUUCGCAAGUCGAGUGUGAAAGCCCCCGGGCUUAACCUGGGAAUUGCGCUCGAAACUACGGAGCUCGAGUGUGGCAGAGGAAGGUGGAAUUCCACGUGUAGCGGUGAAAUGCGUAGAGAUGUGGAGGAACACCAAUGGCGAAGGCAGCCUUCUGGGCCAACACUGACACUCAUGCACGAAAGCGUGGGGAGCAAACAGG
This 254-nucleotide ribosomal RNA is filed under the name uncultured bacterium. Its description in RNAcentral is "partial 16S ribosomal RNA". It matches the Rfam family "Bacterial small subunit ribosomal RNA", at positions 524 to 776 of the family's 1533-position model. The record is from RNAcentral.